Bactrocera dorsalis (oriental fruit fly) is the source of this 1833-nucleotide long non-coding RNA. RefSeq lists it as uncharacterized. The transcript is spliced from 2 exons. Lineage: Eukaryota; Metazoa; Arthropoda; Insecta; Diptera; Tephritidae. The record is from RefSeq and is a predicted model, not a curated record.
UGUUUUAUUGAUUUUUCAUAUAGUAAUCAUUCUCGAAUUAAAAAAUCAUAAAUCUAAAAUUGUUUUCUAAUUAUAACUAUCGAAGUUGUACUGUAAAAUUUACAUAAAUGCAUAUUUAUAACAAAUGUGAUGCAUUAAUGAUUUCUCAGCACGAUUCUGAUUCUAUUUUCUAUAAGUUGAAUACCUUCUUACAUACAUAUGUACAUAUGUACAUACGUGUACAUGCAGAGUUAUGCUAAAAAAAUGCAAUAAAUAUUUCAGGCUCAAUAUUAUUUACAAAAUUGUGCAUAAUCAUAACACACUAACAGAUAUUAUGUUUAUACUUAUAAAUCAUUUUAAACAAUAUUUGUUUUUUUAUGAAUACUGCCGUUGGCGUCUGUCAACAAUUAUAAUAUCCAUUAAUCUGCAACUAUUAAAUUAAUCGGCAAAUCGCGCACAUUUUCCAACCCCACAAAAAUGCACACAUUUACAACCAUUUAUUGCUGCCAGUUACAUGCGAGCUAAACGUGCAUUGAAUUAAUAAGAAAUAGGCAAAAAUAAAGCGCAAUGAUAGAAGAAAAUAUGAUAUUUCAUUUAACACGUUCACCAAACUGUUGUGCUCACAGCAUGACUCGUUCCUAUUGCGGCGAGUAAAAGAAUAAAGUGCAGGACCAAGCAGCAGCAUUGCAUUUAUUUGGUGCCUAGGUCAAUGCCAUAAAUGCAGUUUGACAUUGACUUUGACCGCUGCAAUAAAAAGCUAAAAGUGAAUGCACUGUGAAAAGAGUUCGAAAAAGUGAUACAUGUUUUUAGCAAAAUGAGAACGUAAACAAAAACUAGUUUGGCUGCAAGCUAAAGGUGCACAAAAGCAAAUGCCACUUGAAAGGUAUGCAAUUAUGUUGGAAGAAGAAGAAAAACAAAAUACAAAUCAGUAUUUACAUGUCACAACUUGUUCUUUGGUAGAUAUUACAAGCACAAAUCGACUAAAGACUUAAGCAAGGAACUUUCAGCCCUAAUAACAAUUGGUAUUUACACUUAAGUGUUUAUCUUAAGCUUUAGCGAUAACAAGCAAAUAAAAAUGUAAACGGAAGAUGCACCGCACGUGAACUAAAGAUUUUAUUUACUUGGAAUUAUACAGGUUUCUUAGCGUAAUUGAGCAGGUAAUAAAAAUACACUGUGCGAAAAUUUUGUAUUUUUUUAAAUUAUUUUUAAUAAUUUGCUUUGGUGUCGUCUUUUAUAUAAAAGUAAAGUGAUUAAUUUAUUCAUAAGUUUAAUAUGGUUUAUUUAUUGCUAAGAGUUGCUCUUUCAAAUAACACUGGUCUACAGUAGUUCAAUUGCUCUAGAUAUAAAAUCGAUUUGGGACAUAAAUAUUUGUGCCCCAAUGCAUGAAACUAUUAAUGGCUUUGCAGAUUAAGUUUUAAAACUUUGUUUUAAUUUUACUUAAAAAAAGGAAACAUGAAACAAAAUAACAGAAAUCUUUAUAACUCCUAAACUAUUUGUCGUAGAGAAAAACUAAAAUGUGGAAAUUUGCAGAAUAACAAGAUCAAUAAUUAUAUAAAAGAAAAUUUAAAAUGUGUCUCAAAUCACCAGUUUUUAAAGAUAUUAUGCGAAACUUUUUUUACAUGCAUGUUCUUCACAGAAAUUUAAUUUUCCAUUAGCGGUAUUUUUGUAAAAGAUUCACAGCUUUACAGGGAUAACAGGAGAGGAGGAAUUUAGUUUUUUUUUGUUUCAUAUCUUUGAUUUUAUAUUCUUAGAAUAUGCUGCUAUAGAUUACUAUAUAAUAGCUAUGUUCACCUAACUGUUGUUUGUAUCACCUAAAGGUUAAAUAUACACGCGGCCACGCAAACCUUACCACUA